RNAcentral lists this ribosomal RNA (255 nucleotides) under uncultured bacterium. RNAcentral describes it as "partial 16S ribosomal RNA". It matches the Rfam family "Bacterial small subunit ribosomal RNA", at positions 524 to 776 of the family's 1533-position model. The record is from RNAcentral.
UACGGAAGGGGCAAGCGUUGUUCGGAAUCAUUGGGCGUAAAGGGCGCGUAGGCGGUUCGGUAAGUCAGGUGUGAAAUCUCCACGCUCAACGUGGAGGCGCCACCUGAAACUGCCGUGACUCGAGUCCGGUAGGGGAGUGUGGAAUUCCCGGUGUAGCGGUGAAAUGCGCAGAUAUCGGGAGGAACACCAGUGGCGAAGGCGGCACUCUGGGCCGGUACUGACGCUGAGGAGCGAAAGCGUGGGGAGGCGAACAGG